RNAcentral lists this ribosomal RNA (497 nucleotides) under uncultured bacterium. RNAcentral describes it as "partial 16S ribosomal RNA". It matches the Rfam family "Bacterial small subunit ribosomal RNA", at positions 28 to 507 of the family's 1533-position model. The record is from RNAcentral.
GAUGAACGCUGGCGGCGUGCCUAAUACAUGCAAGUCGAGCGAACAGACGAGGAGCUUGCUCCUCUGACGUUAGCGGCGGACGGGUGAGUAACACGUGGAUAACCUACCUAUAAGACUGGGAUAACUUCGGGAAACCGGAGCUAAUACCGGAUAAUAUAUUGAACCGCAUGGGUCAAUAGUGAAAGACGGUUUUGCUGUCACUUAUAGAUGGAUCCGCGCCGCAUUAGCUAGUUGGUAAGGUAACGGCUUACCAAGGCAACGAUGCGUAGCCGACCUGAGAGAGUGAUCGGCCACACUGGAGCUGAGACACGGUCCAUACUCCUACGGGAGGCAGCAGUAGGGAAUCGUCCGCAAUGGGCGAAAGCCUGACGGAGCAACGCCGCGUGAGUGAUGAAGGUCUUCGGAUCGUAAAACUCUGUUAUUAGGUAAGAACAAAUGUCUAAGUAGCUAUGCACGUCUUGACGGUACCUAAUCAGAAAGCCACGGCUAACUACGUG